AGCAGAGGUGAUUUGAUUUGUAUGACCUGUU
This 31-nucleotide non-coding RNA is filed under the name Rattus norvegicus (Norway rat). Lineage: Eukaryota; Metazoa; Chordata; Mammalia; Rodentia; Muridae. The record is from RNAcentral.